RNAcentral lists this ribosomal RNA (332 nucleotides) under Gyrodactylus lomi. Its description in RNAcentral is "bacterial SSU rRNA". It matches the Rfam family "Eukaryotic small subunit ribosomal RNA", at positions 561 to 801 of the family's 1831-position model. Lineage: Eukaryota; Metazoa; Platyhelminthes; Monogenea; Gyrodactylidea; Gyrodactylidae. The record is from RNAcentral.
GUCUGGUGCCAGCAGCCGCGGUAACUCCAGCUCCAAUAGCAUAUAUUAAAAUUGCUGCAGUUAAAAAGCUCGUAGUUGGAUCUGGGUUCUGGUUUGGAGAUUGCUUGCUUAUAGUGGAGUGACUUUCAUGAAGCUUUUGCAGCGGUUUCUAGGCCGAAUCUUUCAGCUGUGUCUGCAUAAGACUUCGGUCUUGUGUAGAUAGAUUCGUUGUGUGUAAGUUCCCUCACGGGUCUUCGCCUUCGUUUCUAUACGCUGUAAUGCCUUUAACCGGGUGUUCAGUGUGGACAGCACGUUUACUUUGAACAAAUUUGAGUGCUCAAAGCASGCCUUGU